AUGAGGAUUCCAAUGCUGUGACUCCAGCUCCAGCCUUGGCUUAUGUUGUGAGUUUACCCUAAUCCCUGAAGUCAGGUCUUUUAGAAUUGAGCAUGUGCAAAUUGCAGACACCUUGCAGGGCUAAUUGGGCAUACAAAUGGGAUCACAGCUAACCAGAGACAUCUUGGAGCUGGCUGGCUUCAUGCACAAAAAUAUGGAGUGUAUUUCUUUGUCCUGAAGGGAAGACCACACAGGCUUUAACCAAGUGAAAACAGCUGUGUACAGUCUCUGUCCUCCUGUAGGAAUGAUGUGAAUGAUUGUAAGUGUCGGGAGUUUUGCGUUGCACAGGCUCUGUACUCCUGCAGAGGAUAAUAUACCUGUGUGUAUCCAAGGCUUUUCUCUCAGGGAGGAAGAAACACUGGGGAGAACAGCUGAUUUGUCCUUGUCUUCACAAAGCAAACUUUUGGACCCCUUCACCCCAAAUUAAAUACAAUUGUUUAAAAUUUGUUGUAUUGGGGUGAUAGACAAACAUAUAUUUUUUAAUACCAAAAAUUGGCAAUAUAAGAGAUCCCAACUCAAAAUGCUAUCCAAAUUAAGUAACCCUACAGUUAGUUUCAGUUAGUUUUAAUGCCAGAAACCGUCCAGUCUAAAUGGUGUGAAUAAAAUCUGAACCCUCCUUCUCCCUCUAGUAUUC
Molecule: long non-coding RNA, 673 nt
Filed under: Anas platyrhynchos platyrhynchos (common mallard)
Lineage: Eukaryota; Metazoa; Chordata; Aves; Anseriformes; Anatidae
Description: lncRNA (ENSAPLG00000020039.1)
Source: RNAcentral